Homo sapiens (human) is the source of this 458-nucleotide long non-coding RNA. RefSeq annotates it as long independently transcribed non-coding RNA 3236. The record is from RefSeq and is a predicted model, not a curated record. Lineage: Eukaryota; Metazoa; Chordata; Mammalia; Primates; Hominidae. The transcript has 3 exons.
UUCUGGCUUGCAGAUGUCUGCCUUCCCACGGUGCCCUCGCAUGGUGAGAGAGAACUCUGCUAUCUCUUCCUUUUCUUCUAAGAGCACCCGUUCUCCCAGUAUUGGAGGUGUUUCCAUUUUGAAACCACAUCUCUUAACUAAACGAGUUGAUUAGAGAAAUGAGCAAAUUAACAAGGUCAAAAGAAGGUCUUGCCCUGAAGGCACAGACUUGAAGUGUUCAGCUGAUGGAGAGCUGAAUGCCAUGACAACCAGGUGCCAAGGAACUUCAGAAUCUCCAAAUGGAAGUCUCCAAAGCCCCUGAUUCACCAGAAAGAGAGAAAACCAUCCACUGGCCACCACACUGUUAUAUGAGCAGAACACAAACUCCUGUUGUGUUUGAGCCUGUAAACAUUCUGGGCAGCAGAUUAUCCUCUUUAACAUACAAAAUGAUGCCUCAAAUAUGCCUACAAACAAGUAAA